Molecule: long non-coding RNA, 1025 nt
Filed under: Monodelphis domestica (gray short-tailed opossum)
Lineage: Eukaryota; Metazoa; Chordata; Mammalia; Didelphimorphia; Didelphidae
Description: lncRNA (ENSMODG00000034011.2)
Source: RNAcentral
AUGAGAAGGCGCAGAGGUGGAGGGUGUUUCUAUCAAUCAAAUAGUAUGGGGCUGGGGUGCAGGUGGGAAAAGGUAGCAGGGGGAGGCCGGUGUGGGGUGAAGCGCCAGGCUGUGAACCCUGGUUUUAGCCCUCCCUGCGGAGAAGGGACACCAAACUGCGGCACGGCCCUGCGUAGCGGCGACGAGAGCAGCGGCGGUGGCGAAGGCGCCACCGCCUCAGACACUCCAGCCUUGCAUCCUCAUCCCGAGAUCCAGGGCAAGGCGUUCAGUUCCCAGGAACGGGGGGUCUCCAGCUCGGACAGUUGCCCCCACCCCGUACUCUCCCGGCUUCCCGCAGCGGCAGUCUCCACAGCAGACACAAUCUCUCCUUCCUCCGCCGGUUGUUCUCUAAUCACCGAGACUAAAGCUGGAGUCCAAGCCGCCUCCGGCGUCCGCGAUGCUCGGUGGCCGGGGGCGUCCCUGGGGGCCCGGGAGGUCUCGGCUGGCCGGUGCUGCGUCUCCUCAUGCCUGGCGAGGCCCCGGCGCACAGCGACGGUAGCAGGAGCCAAGCGACAGCGGGGAAAACCCGGAAAGCAGCGAGGCUACCGGGAGAAUCCCUCCCGGGACUGGCGCACGAACCCGAGGUCCUGCAGCCGCCGCAGCCGCCGCCGCCGCCGCCGCCUCCUCCCCUUCCAGGUGCUGUCCCGGCCGCAGGGGCAGCAGCAGCAGCAGCAGCAGCAUCCCCGCUUCCCAGCCCCGGGCGUUGAAGCUGAGAAAGGAGACAAGCCAGGCUGAAGGAGAGAUUUUGAACUUUAUUUCUCUCUGGGGUUAAACUGAGAGACCUUGCUGAUUUUGAAGAAGAAGAAGAAAGAAGAUUAAAAAAAAAAACUUGUCCUCCAUCUCUGACUGUCCCUCUGUCACACUUGUGACUUCCCAAACCCUCAAUUUUCCCUCACUUAGAUUAGGGACAUCCUCAUCCCUGUCUCCUCAAUUUCCCAUCCUGUUAUCCCAAUAAACCCCUUGACUUGAAAGAGGAAAAGAAAAGA